Molecule: ribosomal RNA, 572 nt
Filed under: uncultured bacterium
Lineage: Bacteria
Description: partial 16S ribosomal RNA
Rfam family: Bacterial small subunit ribosomal RNA
Source: RNAcentral
UGGGGAAUUUUGGACAAUGGGCGCAAGCCUGAUCCAGCCAUGCCGCGUGCGGGAAGAAGGCCUUCGGGUUGUAAACCGCUUUUGUCAGGGAAGAAAUCUUCUGAGUUAAUACCUCGGGAGGAUGACGGUACCUGAAGAAUAAGCACCGGCUAACUACGUGCCAGCAGCCGCGGUAAUACGUAGGGUGCAAGCGUUAAUCGGAAUACUGGGCGUAAAGCGUGCGCAGGCGGUUUUGUAAGACAGAGGUGAAAUCCCCGGGCUCAACCUGGGAACUGCCUUUGUGACUGCAAGGCUUGAGUGCGGCAGAGGGGGAUGGAAUUCCGCGUGUAGCAGUGAAAUGCGUAGAUAUGCGGAGGAACACCGAUGGCGAAGGCAAUCCCCUGGGCCUGCACUGACGCUCAUGCACGAAAGCGUGGGGAGCAAAACAGGAUUAGAUAGCCCUGGUAGUCCACGCCCUAAACGAUGUCAACUGGUUGUUGGGAAGGUUCCUUCUCAGUAACGUAGCUAACGCGUGAAGUUGACCGCCUGGGGAGUACGGCCGCAAGGUUGAAACUCAAAUGAAUUGACGGGGU